UGGGGAAUAUUGCACAAUGGGCGCAAGCCUGAUGCAGCGACGCCGCGUGGGGGAUGACGGCCUUCGGUUUGUAAACUCCUUUCGCUAGGGACGAAGCUUUUUGUGACGGUACCUAGAUAAGAAGCACCGGCUAACUACGUGCCAGCAGCCGCGGUAAUACGUAGGGUGCGAGCGUUGUCCGGAAUUACUGGGCGUAAAGGGCUCGUAGGUGGUUUGUCGCGUCGUCUGUGAAAUUCCGGGGCUUAACUCCGGGCGUGCAGGCGAUGCGGGCAUAACUUGAGUACUGUAGGGGUAACUGGAGUUCCUGGUGUAGCGGUGAAAUGCGCAGAUAUCAGGAGGAACACCGAUGGCGAAGGCAGGUUACUGGGCAGUUACUGACGCUGAGGAGCGAAAGCAUGGGUAGCGAACAGG
Molecule: ribosomal RNA, 411 nt
Filed under: Actinomycetes bacterium
Lineage: Bacteria; Bacillati; Actinomycetota; Actinomycetes
Description: Actinobacteria bacterium partial 16S ribosomal RNA
Rfam family: Bacterial small subunit ribosomal RNA
Source: RNAcentral